This 209-nucleotide small nuclear RNA is filed under the name Erpetoichthys calabaricus (reedfish). RNAcentral's name for it is "U2 spliceosomal RNA (ENSECRG00000013309.1)". It matches the Rfam family "U2 spliceosomal RNA". From Rfam's summary of the family: U2 is a small nuclear RNA (snRNA) component of the spliceosome (involved in pre-mRNA splicing). Complementary binding between U2 snRNA (in an area lying towards the 5' end but 3' to hairpin I) and the branchpoint sequence (BPS) of the intron results the bulging out of an unpaired adenosine, on the BPS, which initiates a nucleophilic attack at the intronic 5' splice site, thus starting the first of two transesterification reactions that mediate splicing. The record is from Rfam by way of RNAcentral. Lineage: Eukaryota; Metazoa; Chordata; Cladistia; Polypteriformes; Polypteridae.
UUAAUUUUUGUGAAAUAUAGAAUGAUCAGUAGUUAAUACAAAAAAACAAAAAAACAUCUGUUCUUAUCAGUUUAAUAUCUAAUAGGUUCUCUAUCUGAGUGCCUUAUAUUAAAUUGAGUUUUGGAACAGGGAGAUGGAAUAGGGGCUUGCUCCGUCCACUCCACGCAUCGACCUGGUAUUGCAGUACUUCCAGGAGCGGUGCACUUUCU